GGGGAAUAUUGCACAAUGGGCGAAAGCCUGAUGCAGCAACGCCGCGUGAGUGAUGAAGGUCUUCGGAUUGUAAAGCUCUGUCUUUUGGGACGAUAAUGACGGUACCAAAGGAGGAAGCCACGGCUAACUACGUGCCAGCAGCCGCGGUAAUACGUAGGUGGCGAGCGUUGUCCGGAUUUACUGGGCGUAAAGGGUGCGUAGGCGGAUGUUUAAGUGAGAUGUGAAAUACCCGGGCUUAACUUGGGUGCUGCAUUUCAAAGCUGGAUAUCUAGAGUGCAGGAGAGGAGAAUGGAAUU
RNAcentral lists this ribosomal RNA (296 nucleotides) under uncultured bacterium. RNAcentral's name for it is "partial 16S ribosomal RNA". It matches the Rfam family "Bacterial small subunit ribosomal RNA", at positions 356 to 668 of the family's 1533-position model. The record is from RNAcentral.